This 465-nucleotide ribosomal RNA is filed under the name uncultured Klebsiella sp. Its description in RNAcentral is "bacterial SSU rRNA". It matches the Rfam family "Bacterial small subunit ribosomal RNA", at positions 338 to 795 of the family's 1533-position model. The record is from RNAcentral. Lineage: Bacteria; Pseudomonadati; Pseudomonadota; Gammaproteobacteria; Enterobacterales; Enterobacteriaceae.
CCUACGGGUGGCAGCAGUGGGGAAUAUUGCACAAUGGGCGCAAGCCUGAUGCAGCCAUGCCGCGUGUGUGAAGAAGGCCUUCGGGUUGUAAAGCACUUUCAGCGGGGAGGAAGGCGUUAAGGUUAAUAACCUUGUCGAUUGACGUUACCCGCAGAAGAAGCACCGGCUAACUCCGUGCCAGCAGCCGCGGUAAUACGGAGGGUGCAAGCGUUAAUCGGAAUUACUGGGCGUAAAGCGCACGCAGGCGGUCUGUCAAGUCGGAUGUGAAAUCCCCGGGCUCAACCUGGGAACUGCAUUCGAAACUGGCAGGCUAGAGGCUUGUAGAGGGGGGUAGAAUGCCAGGUGUAGCGGUGAAAUGCGUAGAGAUCUGGAGGAAUACCGGUGGCGAAGGCGGCCCCCUGGACAAAGACUGACGCACAGGUGCGAAAGCGUGGGGAGCAAACAGGAUUAGAUACCCCGGUAGUC